Cyprinodon tularosa is the source of this 422-nucleotide long non-coding RNA. RefSeq lists it as uncharacterized. The record is from RefSeq and is a predicted model, not a curated record. The transcript has 2 exons. NCBI's taxonomy places the organism in Eukaryota, Metazoa, Chordata, Actinopteri, Cyprinodontiformes, Cyprinodontidae.
GCGUACCUGAGCCUCUGAAAUCCUAAAGAAUACUAGUUGCCUCUAGAGAGAAACUAGCCUUCUAACUUGCUCUUGUCUUCUUUGCUCACAGAAACCCGACUGAAGUCUGAAGCUCUGGAUGAGCAUAACCUGGAAACCUGCCUGCCUGCCCACGUAAGCCAAACCUGAAGAUCUCAGUAUGGAUUCCUCCAUCAGCUCUUGGGAAAGAGCUAGGAAACAAGAACGCAAGUCUGAAACUCUCUAGCUCGAAGCUAGACGCUGUUGCUGCUGAGCUCUCUGCUACCUCCACAGACUCUGGACCCAACCGGUUCCUCCUCUCACGGAUCUGUUAAAACCUCCUCAAGAUAAUAUUGAAACCAGUCCCGGGCCUGUACCAGAACCAGAUCUUGAAUCAUUCUGUGUAUUCAUAAAUAAACAUUGUU